This 1033-nucleotide long non-coding RNA is filed under the name Ananas comosus (pineapple). RNAcentral's name for it is "long non-coding RNA (ACOM_LNC038072)". Lineage: Eukaryota; Viridiplantae; Streptophyta; Magnoliopsida; Poales; Bromeliaceae. The record is from RNAcentral.
GAAGUUUCAAAUAUUUUUAAUUAUAUUUAACGAUAUGAAUCAUCAAUUUAAAAGCUCCAUCAUAAAAAAUAAUUUAUAAGUAUAAAGAUAUUUAUACUCAUAAAAGUAGAGUCCGGCUACUAUACUUUUAUGAGUAUUGGCUUCUUUAUACUCAUAAGUUUUCGGUCCUUAGAUUUAUUCUAUUGAUCAUUUCCACCCAUUAGAUCAUACUAUUCAACCAACUACCCACUUAACCCUAGGGGACCACUAUUAUUCUAAGUGGGACCACCAUCAUCCUAACCACAUAUCCCAUCACUCAACGGUUCAAAAUUUAUAAGUACAAGGAGAUUUAUACUCAUAAGAGUAUAAUAGUCCAAGCCCAUAAAAGCAUAGUAACUCUAGUGUAAUUUUAGAGGCCCACACUAUCAUUUCAAGAUGAUAGAAGUCUUUGAUAUAUUAAGUCAUUUUAGAUGAUUAAAAUUCUAAAUCGAUAAUUGACAUCGUUGAAAUUGAUCUACAUCAUUAGACAUACUUACAAAUUAAAUAUUGUAAUUUUAAAAAAUAAUUAUGAAAUCCAUCCAUUUGUUUUCGAUGAUAAAGCUUCCUAAUUGACGAUCGGUAUCGUUGAAUAUUUUACUACUUGAAGCAUCUAGAAACCGAAUUUUAUUUUUUUUAUUUUUUUCAAUAUUAUUUUAUUUUCCAUCAAAUGGACACAAAAAUGAAUAUCUUUUAAAAAGUCUAAAAAUAAAUAUCAUUUAAAAAAUGAUAAUAGGUAUCUUAUAAUCAAGAUCGAGAGUAUAAAUUUUGUUUUAAAUAAUUUAAAAAAUAUUUUAAUCAAAAUUCAAUUGAUUUGAAUAUUUUCACGCCGUUAAACAAAAAAACAUUUCAUAUUGACCAUUAAAAUUAUAAAUUUUAAAACCCUUUGAGCAUUAAGUCAAUAAUAUUGAAAAGAUUUAUAAUUUUAUUUUUAGAUACUUCAAGUGGUAUAAAUCAUAUUUAACGAUGCCGAUCAUCGAUUUGAAGGCUCCAUCAUCGAAAACAAAUAAGUGGUAAC